This 496-nucleotide ribosomal RNA is filed under the name uncultured bacterium. RNAcentral's name for it is "partial 16S ribosomal RNA". It matches the Rfam family "Bacterial small subunit ribosomal RNA", at positions 28 to 507 of the family's 1533-position model. The record is from RNAcentral.
GAUGAACGCUGGCGGCGUGCCUAAUACAUGCAAGUCGAGCGAACAGAUGAGGAGCUUGCUCCUCUGACGUUAGCGGCGGACGGGUGAGUAACACGUGGAUAACCUACCUAUAAGACUGGGAUAACUUCGGGAAACCGGAGCUAAUACCGGAUAAUAUAUUGAACCGCAUGGUUCAAUAGUGAAAGACGGUUUUGCUGUCACUUAUAGAUGAUCCGCGCCGCAUUAGCUAGUUGGUAAGGUAACGGCUUACCAAGGCAACGAUGCGUAGCCGACCUGAGAGGGUGAUCGGCCACACUGGAACUGAGACACGGUCCAGACUCCUACGGGAGGCAGCAGUAGGGAAUCUUCCGCAAUGGGCGAAAGCUUGACGGAGCAACGCCGCGUGAGUGAUGAAGGUCUUCGGAUCGUAAAACUCUGUUAUUAGGGAAGAACAAAUGUGUAAGUAACUAUGCACGUCUUGACGGUACCUAAUCAGAAAGCCACGGCUAACUACGUG